This 490-nucleotide ribosomal RNA is filed under the name uncultured bacterium. RNAcentral's name for it is "partial 16S ribosomal RNA". It matches the Rfam family "Bacterial small subunit ribosomal RNA", at positions 30 to 507 of the family's 1533-position model. The record is from RNAcentral.
AUUGAACGCUGGCGGCAGGCCUAACACAUGCAAGUCGAACGGUAACAGGAAGAAGCUUGCUUCUUUGCUGACGAGUGGCGGACGGGUGAGUAAUGUCUGGGAAACUGCCUGAUGGAGGGGGAUAACUACUGGAAACGGUAGCUAAUACCGCAUAACGUCGCAAGACCAAAGAGGGGGACCUUCGGGCCUCUUGCCAUCGGAUGUGCCCAGAUGGGAUUAGCUUGUUGGUGGGGUAACGGCUCACCAAGGCGGCGAUCCCUAGCUGGUCUGAGAGGAUGACGAGCCACGCUGGAGCUGAGACGCGGUCCAGACUCCGGCGGGAGGCAGCAGUGGGGAAUAUUGCGCAAUGGGCGCAGGCGUGAGGCAGCCAGGCCGCGUGUAUGAAGAAGGCCUUCGGGUUGUAAAGUACUUUCAGCGGGGAGGAAGGGAGUAAGGUUAAUACCUUUGCUCAUUGACGUUACCCGCAGAAGAAGCACCGGCUAACUCCGUG